GGGGUUGUGGCUUGGUGGUAGAGCACUCACCUAGCAUGUGUGAGGCACUGGGUUCAAUUCUCAGCACCACA
This 71-nucleotide transfer RNA is filed under the name Marmota monax (woodchuck). Its description in RNAcentral is "tRNA.Ala". It matches the Rfam family "tRNA". Rfam says of the family: Transfer RNA (tRNA) molecules are approximately 80 nucleotides in length. Their secondary structure includes four short double-helical elements and three loops (D, anti-codon, and T loops). Further hydrogen bonds mediate the characteristic L-shaped molecular structure. tRNAs have two regions of fundamental functional importance: the anti-codon, which is responsible for specific mRNA codon recognition, and the 3' end, to which the tRNAs corresponding amino acid is attached (by aminoacyl-tRNA synthetases). tRNAs cope with the degeneracy of the genetic code in two manners: having more than one tRNA (with a specific anti-codon) for a particular amino acid; and 'wobble' base-pairing, i.e. permitting non-standard base-pairing at the 3rd anti-codon position. The record is from RNAcentral. Lineage: Eukaryota; Metazoa; Chordata; Mammalia; Rodentia; Sciuridae.